This 870-nucleotide small RNA is filed under the name Theobroma cacao (cacao). Its description in RNAcentral is "sRNA Tc04v2_g009740". Lineage: Eukaryota; Viridiplantae; Streptophyta; Magnoliopsida; Malvales; Malvaceae. The record is from RNAcentral.
AAUAAGUCUCCCAUGUCUGUCUUACAGUUUCUCUUUCUCUCAAAAUUUAAAAUCCCCUAAAAUGUGGCAAAGAAGAUGUUGAGACAAAACCAUUCAAUGUAUAUUCAAAUCUCAAAAAUUUCCCAUUCCUUCUAACCCCUGAUCCCAAAUUCUUUGGUUGUUUGUCUUCCCCGUAAUCGAAACCCUAACCCCAAUUCUUUCAAAAAUUCCUCUUUUGUAGAGCAAGAUUUAGGGUUCUUCAAACAUCAAAGGUUUCUUUUUCAGGAAAUUUCCUUAAGUCUCCCACUCUCCACCAACCUUUACAAUUUAAACUCCGCUUCACAAAUUCGAUGGCGUUAAUAAAGAGGUUCAUGGAGGACAAUCAGAGCUUGUGGCAGAUAUUAAGGAGGCAUUGAUGGAUUUUCUAAAUGAAGCUUAUGAUAGGGCAAAGGAGGCUUAGAUUUGGGUUGAUAAAUUGGAAGAGAAGUUGGGGGAAAUUAACCAAAAAAUGAAGGUUUCAAGCGCCAUUAUGAGAACAAAGGGGAUUGAUAAUUUGGGAAGUUGUAAGCCAAAGGACUAAGUCAAUUGGGUGGGAACAUGUGGCUCCCAUGUUGAUAGUUGUUACAUUCUUACAAUAUCAAAAUGCACUUUCAAAGGACUUACAGGGUAUCAAAUAUUCCUAUCCACAUGCCAACAAACUAUUUUAGGAUUCUACUUAAAUACUUUGUGUAAGAAAAUUUGGAACUAAUGUGUAGACAUUAUACAAAGAAUUGUAAUUUUACUUCAUAAUUGUUUUGAUGAUCAAUAUUUGCUGUAAAUUUUGUAAAAUUUGCAUGAUUUAUACUUUAUAGCUUGCUGUAAAAUUUGCAAAAUUUGCACCUUUUUGUUGCA